This is a long non-coding RNA of Zophobas morio, 430 nucleotides long. RefSeq lists it as uncharacterized. NCBI's taxonomy places the organism in Eukaryota, Metazoa, Arthropoda, Insecta, Coleoptera, Tenebrionidae. The record is from RefSeq and is a predicted model, not a curated record. The transcript has 2 exons.
UAUUUCAUAGUUUAAUUAGUGUUGGUUUUUGUUGUUUUGUUCCUAUUUGGUCGUUUAACUUCAGUUAGUGGUUCGUUAUUAUUACAUAGUUUAAGUUGUUACGUUAAUUUUACUGGGACGAAAAUGCGGUUCCACAAAAAAUGCAUUGUGCCCCAGUGCCCUGCCAAGUACUCAAAGUCUUUCCAUCAGUUUCCCUCUGAGCCCCUCUUAAGAGAAAAAUGGCUACAUAAAGUAGAGAAGUUUUGUUCUCCAACGCAGCAGAUCGUCAGUCAGUACUCAACCAUUUGCAAUUUGCACUUUAAACCCACAGAUUUUAAGUUUGCAGCAAAUGGUAGUAAACGCUUGCAAAAAAAUGCAGUUCCAACAGUUUUUCAUGUAUAUUUAUUUACAUUUUAAACUUAACAGAAAUAAAAUUAUAGUUUUUAUAGGG